CCUACGGGAGACAGCAGUGAGGAAUAUUGGUCAAUGGACGAGAGUCUGAACCAGCCAAGUAGCGUGAAGGAUGACUGCCCUAUGGGUUGUAAACUUCUUUUAUAUGGGAAUAAAAUGUUCCACGUGUGGGAUUUUGUAUGUACCAUAUGAAUAAGGAUCGGCUAACUCCGUACCAGCAGCCGCGGUAAUACGGAGGAUCCGAGCGUUAUCCGGAUUUUUUGGGUUUAAAGGGAGCGUAGGUGGAUUGUUAAGUCAGUUGUGAAAGUUUGCGGCUCAACCGUAAAAUUGCAGUUGAAACUGGCAGUCUUGAGUACAGUAGAGGUGGGCGGAAUUCGUGGUGUAGCGGUGAAAUGCUUAGAUAUCACGAAGAACUCCGAUUGCGAAGGCAGCUCACUGGACUGUAACUGACACUGAGGCUCGAAAGUGUGGGUAUCAAACAGGAUUAGAUACCCCAGUAGUC
This 460-nucleotide ribosomal RNA is filed under the name uncultured bacterium. Its description in RNAcentral is "partial 16S ribosomal RNA". It matches the Rfam family "Bacterial small subunit ribosomal RNA", at positions 338 to 795 of the family's 1533-position model. The record is from RNAcentral.